UACGGAGGGGGUUAGCGUUGUUCGGAAUUACUGGGCGUAAAGCGCACGUAGGCGGAUUGACAAGUUGGGGGUGAAAUCCCGGGGCUCAACCUCGGAACUGCCUCCAAAACUGCUGGUCUUGAGUUCGAGAGAGGUGAGUGGAAUUCCGAGUGUAGAGGUGAAAUUCGUAGAUAUUCGGAGGAACACCAGUGGCGAAGGCGGCUUACUGGCUCGAUACUGACGCUGAGGUGCGAAAGCGUGGGGAGCAAACAGG
Molecule: ribosomal RNA, 253 nt
Filed under: uncultured bacterium
Lineage: Bacteria
Description: partial 16S ribosomal RNA
Rfam family: Bacterial small subunit ribosomal RNA
Source: RNAcentral